Long non-coding RNA from Macaca mulatta (Rhesus monkey), 3223 nucleotides. RefSeq lists it as uncharacterized. NCBI's taxonomy places the organism in Eukaryota, Metazoa, Chordata, Mammalia, Primates, Cercopithecidae. The record is from RefSeq and is a predicted model, not a curated record.
UCCUCCCCACACCUGGUUAAUCGUAAACACAGGGCAGGGCGUGACUGAGCCUUCCUGACACCGUUCUCGGGAUCCCAGCACACGGCGCAUCUACGCAGGUACAGUGGUAAACACAGGGCAGGGCGUGACUGAGCCUUCCUGACACCGUUCCCGGGAUCCCAGCACACGGCGUGUCCACACAGGCACAGGUACAGUACUCACAGGCUGCACGAGGUCCUUCUCAUGGAAGGGAAUGCCUCCUACGGUGAGGUUCAGAUGAUACAGUCCUCGCUCCGGUUGGAACAAGUCCCCGGCCACCGCGAUUUUCAUGACAGCGUCCCUGUUGACCUUGAUGACCAGAUUCCGCGCCAGCUCCUCAACAGAGAUCUGAAGAGAGGCAGCGCCAUGAGAAGAGGUGGGAGUGCACGUUCUGAAGGGCUCCCAACUGCAGAAAAACCACACUCAUCCUCUCCUGAGCCAAGAGGGACCUGACCUUGGGGAGACCACCUGAUCCUCACCUGGGCCAACAGGGGGACCACCUCAUCCUCAUCUGAGCCAAGAGGAUCUCAAUCUCAAGGAGACCACCUGAUCCUCACCUGGGCCGACAAGGACCUGACCUCGGGGAGACCACCUGAUCCUCACCUGGGCCAAGAGGGACCCGACCUCAGAAAGUCCGUGCUCAUCACCUGGGCCAGGAGGGCCCUCGAUGCAUCAGUGUGGUCACCAGAAACUUUCCUCACAGGAAACCUCUUUGCUGAGAACAGCCUUCUGCUCUUGGAGAUGCUGUUCCUUUAAGAGGCUGGGAAAAUGGAGCGAGGCCUUACUCUGCAGAAUGGAAAUAGGAGCAAAGUCUACAAUGUUUCAUCUGCGGGGCCAAGGUGAAUUUUCCACUUCAUCUUCACUUCUGAAGGACAUGACGUGCUUUCUUCCCAGCUUUUACUUCUGAAAGCCCCGUGUGGUGAGGGAGGCCCAGCGCUGUGGGCGGGAGCCUGGUUGGUUACAGACCCUCUCACUCCAUGGAUGGGGAUGUGGGGUGGGCGCAUUUUACCGCUGCCCACAGCUGCCCAAGUGCAGGUCUGACCAGGACCCCUCAGGUGGCCCAUGGCGCUGGAGUCCAGGUGGUCAGGACGUUUCUGGCAAGAGGCAGCCCCGGUGAGGUCACCUGGACCCUUGGCAUGCAUGACCGCACUGACCAGCAGGCCCUGGGAGCCAGAGUUCAGGGACGGCAGCGUCCACACCGUCCUACAGGGAAAGGUGGGUGGGUGGCGCCUGGCCUGUCCACAGCCAGGGAGACACGUAUGGCAGGAGCGGUACCUGUGGUGCAGGUUCAGUGGUGGCUUCCUCCCCUGGUGGGGCACCCUGCGUGCAGCAUCAAGCAGCCCAGGCCUCUGUUCCCCGCCCCGCUCAGGAUAAACAGUACGGCCUCCAGACACAGCCCUGGCCUCUCUUCCCCGCCCCGCUCAGGAUUAACAGUACGGCCUCCAGACACAGCCCUGGCCUCUGUUCCCCGCCCCGCUCAGGAUACACAGUAUGGCCUCCAGACACAGCCCAGGGUCCCCGGGGCUGAGAAACACGGGUUCUCACCUGAGCCAAGAGCGACCUGAACUCCGGGAGACCAAACUCACUUGAGGCCCCCUUCUGAGGGAGCCAGGCUGAUACGUGAUGAAAUAGCAGAGAGGCUUAGAGCACUGCAGUGAGCCCCCACAGCAUGAACUGAACAGGACAGGGGUCCCUGUGCCCCCGAGCAUGAACUAAACAGGGCAGGGGUCCUUGUCCCCCCGAGCAUGAACUGAACAGGGCAGGGGUCCUUGUCCCCCCGAGCGUGAACUAAACGGGGCAGGGGUCCCUGUCCCCCAGAGCAUGAACUGAACGGGGCAGGGGUCCCUGUCCCCCAGAGCAUGAACUCAACAGGGCAGGGGUCCCUGUCCCCCAGAGCAUGAACUGAACGGGGCAGGGGUCCCUGUCCCCCAGAGCAUGAACUGAACGGGGCAGGGGUCCCUGUGCCCCCGAGCAUGAACUAAACAGGGCAGGGGUCCUUGUCCCCCAGAGCAUGAACUCAACAGGGCAGGGGUCCCUGUCCCCCAGAGCAUGAACUGAACGGGGCAGGGGUCCCUGUCCCCCAGAGCAUGAACUGAACAGGGCAGGGGUCCCUGUGCCCCAGAGCAUGAACUGAAUGGGGCAGGGGUCCUUGUCCCCCAGAGCAUGAACUGAACAGGGCAGGGGUCCCUGUGCCCCAGAGCAUGAACUGAAUGGGGCAGGGGUCCUUGUCCCCCAGAGCAUGAACUGAACAGGGCAGGGGUCCCUAUCCUGCCCGCAUGCAGCAGGUAUAGGCCCCAGAGCUCAUCUCCACGGUUGCACAAGCAAGUAACAGCCGGGUCAGGCUCAGGGACAACCCCGUGCGGCCCGGAAGGGGCGGCUGCCGCACACUCACCGUCUGCCACAUGCCGUGGUUGAUGACCGGGCCGCUGCUGGUGACGCGGCCGACGCCAUUGUAGCGCAGCUGCAGCUCCAGCCGGCCGGCUCGCAGGGCCAGCACGAUCCAGGUGCUGUCCUGGUGGCCUCCAGCGAAGAGGAGGAUGCCCUCGGGGUCAAAGGUCCGGAAGUCAAACUCAGCUACAAGCCUGGGCACCCACAGGAGAAAUGAGUCAGCGCCGGGUGUACGGCCAAGCCCGGGCCCGGGCCCCGUGCAGCCAGCACCUUGGCCGUGCUAAGCUGUGCUGCCUUCUGUGGACACCUCCUCACCUGGUGGGCUGCAGCCUCUUGAAGCGCAGUCGGAUCACGGGGGUCCCACUGAACAUCCGGCCCAGGUACAAGGACUUCACGCUCUUGGCCAUGCUGAAGGGCACGCACGGCAAGAUGUCCUGCCACAGACAGGGACCACGCCGGUCGGGGACGCAACCUCCACUCCAGCUCCCCUGAGCCCCGGGCCCCCGCCGUGCAGCAGGUCCACUGUCCCUCCCAUGCCUCGGGAGUGUGGCCGCCCCACCUCCAGCUGCUGAGGCCCCAGAGGCUGUCACACCGGCCCCACCACCGGGGCUCCCAGGUGAAGGACGGGCUCGCACCACCUGCUUCCCACAGGGCUUCUCGGGGGUCCCGUCACCUCCUUCCCUGCCCAUUUCCCUUGACUCUUUAUUUUUAAAUUAUGAAAUAUGUCAAGCAUACAAAAAGUACAGAGAAUCAUAAAAAAGUAUACACUAUUAUGAAAUAAAUAUGGACGCCUUGAAGAUGGCUGUCCCGGAAAGUU